UUGAUUGAUUCAAAUAUUUACUCAGACGCAAAGAUGCAGAGUUGAGUGGACCGCCGGGGGCCCCGCGCCCGAAGGCCGGGUCGCCCCCGAGGCAACAGAGUCGGAAUACAAAGGGUUGGAGGUCGGGCCCGGAGGCCCUUCACUCGGUAAUGAUCCCUCCGCAGGUUCACCUACGGAGA
RNAcentral lists this unclassified non-coding RNA (179 nucleotides) under uncultured fungus. RNAcentral describes it as "sequence contains ITS1". Lineage: Eukaryota; Fungi. The record is from RNAcentral.